GGUGGGUAACACGUGGAUAACCUACCUAUAAGACUGGGAUAACUUCGGGAAACCGGAGCUAAUACCGGAUAAUAUUUUGAACCGCAUGGUUCAAAAGUGAAAGACGGUCUUGCUGUCACUUAUAGAUGGAUCCGCGCUGCAUUAGCUAGUUGGUAAGGUAACGGCUUACCAAGGCAACGAUGCAUAGCCGACCUGAGAGGGUGAUCGGCCACACUGGAACUGAGACACGGUCCAGACUCCUACGGGAGGCAGCAGUAGGGAAUCUUCCGCAAUGGGCGAAAGCCUGACGGAGCAACGCCGCGUGAGUGAUGAAGGUCUUCGGAUCGUAAAACUCUGUUAUUAGGGAAGAACAUAUGUGUAAGUAACUGUGCACAUCUUGACGGUACCUAAUCAGAAAGCCACGGCUAACUACGUGCCAGCAGCCGCGGUAAUACGUAGGUGGCAAGCGUUAUCCGGAAUUAUUGGGCGUAAAGCGCGCGUAGGCGGUUUUUUGAGUCUGAUGUGAAAGCCCACGGCUCAACCGUGGAGGGUCAUUGGAAACUGGAAAACUUGAGUGCAGAAGAGGAAAGUGGAAUUCCAUGUGUAGCGGUGA
RNAcentral lists this ribosomal RNA (592 nucleotides) under uncultured Bacilli bacterium. RNAcentral describes it as "bacterial SSU rRNA". It matches the Rfam family "Bacterial small subunit ribosomal RNA", at positions 105 to 684 of the family's 1533-position model. The record is from RNAcentral. Lineage: Bacteria; Bacillati; Bacillota; Bacilli.